This 132-nucleotide non-coding RNA is filed under the name Litonotus pictus. Lineage: Eukaryota; Ciliophora; Litostomatea; Pleurostomatida; Litonotidae. The record is from RNAcentral.
UGUCCAUUUUCUGGUCUUUUAUUUCCUUGAACUUAAUCUUAAUCUUCUUGAACAUGUCUUCUCUGAAAAUCUGCAGGCAGUUGUAGGCAGAUUUUAGAGAAUUGAAGGUAACGAAAGCAUGUCCAGAUGAAU